Molecule: RNA transcript, 1210 nt
Organism: Nycticebus coucang (slow loris)
Lineage: Eukaryota; Metazoa; Chordata; Mammalia; Primates; Lorisidae
Gene name: L-lactate dehydrogenase A chain-like
Exons: 2
Source: RefSeq, a predicted model, not a curated record
UCCAAGUCCAAAAUGGCAACUGUCAAGGAUCAGCUGAUUCUUAAUGUUCUAAAGGAAGAACAGACCCCCCCCCCCCAGAAUAAGAUUACAGUUGUUGGGGUUGGUGCUGUUGGCAUGGCCUGCACCAUCAGUAUCUUAAUGAAGGACCUGGCAGAUGAGCUUGCUCUUGUUGAUGUCAUUGAAGACAAAUUGAAGGGAGAGAUGAUGGAUCUCCAAAAUGGCAGCCUUUUCCUUAGAACACCAAAGAUCAUCUCUAGCAAAGACUAUAAUGCGACUGCAAACUCCAAGCUGGUUAUUAUCACAGCGGGGGCACAUCAGCAGGAAGGAGAAAGCCGUCUUAAUUUGGUUCAGCGAAACGUUAAUAUCUUUAAGUUCAUCAUUCCCAAUGUUGUAAAAUACACUCCAAACUGCAAGUUGCUUGUGUUUCAAAUUCAGUGGAUAUCUUGACCUAUGUGGCUUAGAAGAUAAGUGGCUUUCCCAAAAACCGUGUCAUUGGAAGUGGUUGUUGUCUAGAUUCAGCCCGGUUCCAUUACCUGACGGGGAAGAGGAUGGGAGUUCACCCAUUAAGCUGCCACGGAUGGGUCCUUGGGGAGCAUGGAGACUCUAGUGUGCCUGUGUGGAGUAAAUGUUGCUGGUGUCUCCCUAAAGAAUCUACACCCAGAUUUAGGCACUGAGACAGAUAAGGAGCAAUGGAAAGAGGUUCACAAGCAGGUGGUUGAGAGUGCUUAUGAAGUGAUCAAACUGAAAGGCUACACCUUCUGGGCCAUUGGACUCUCUGUGGCAGAUUUGGCAGAAAGCAUGAUGAGGAAUCUCAGGCGUGUGCAUCCAGUUUCCACCACGAUCAAGGGUCUCUAUGGAAUAAAAGAUGAUGUCUUCUUUCGUGUUCCUUGCAUCCUAGAACAGAAUGGAAUUUCAGACCUUAUGAAGGUGACUCUAACUCCUGAGGAAGAGGCCCGUUUGAAAAAGAGUGCAGAUACACUUUGGGGGAUCCAAAAAGAGCUGCAAUUUUAAAGUCUUCUACUGUCAAAGCACUUCACUGUCUAGGCUACAACAGGAUUUUAGUUGGAGGUUGUGCAUGUUGUCCUUUUUAUCUGAUCUGUGAUUAAAACAGUUAUAUUAAGAUGGCCCAGGAAGAACAUCAUUGUCCUAAAGUUAAAAAUGAGAAUGGUUUGUAAAACCCUACAGUUGUAUCCUGAUACUGGAUGAAACU